This is a long non-coding RNA of Pleuronectes platessa (European plaice), 1666 nucleotides long. RefSeq lists it as uncharacterized. The record is from RefSeq and is a predicted model, not a curated record. The transcript has 4 exons. Lineage: Eukaryota; Metazoa; Chordata; Actinopteri; Pleuronectiformes; Pleuronectidae.
CGAGCGUGGGACCUCUCUCUCUCUCUCUCUCUCUUCAGUGGAUUAUAACAAGAGAGGAAGGUUUCAGUGUUUGAUGUGUUCUGUGAAAACCUGACCACGUGUGAAAGGUCGACUUUUCACAGAAGUUCAGGCACGACGGGAAAUGAGACGUGGUUUGAAUGAAGAGAACUUUAUCACACCACAGCCACAGGGGGACAUCUGACAACUCUUGAUUACAUCUUGGGAUCUAAAUCCAGCUUCUACCCUCGGGAGACGGCUCCUUCCUUUGUUUCAUUAAACGAACGCUCUAUUACAUCUGUAGUGAAGUGAAUAAAACCACAGCCUGUCAGAGGGAUGGGAAGUGGAGGCGUUCUCCAGUUCUUUAUCACAGUUACCAGUCCGCAGCCUGAGGCUCGUCUGACUCACCACAACCGAAAGAGGAACCACGUCAGAGGUUAUUUCUGUUGCCUCUUCUCGUCAGUGAGUUUAAAUGUCGACUCCAUUUGACGUGAAAGUUGUGCACGGUUAUAUUAACAGAUACAAAGUGAUGCUACAGGAUUAUUAUCUCCUCUCCUCCUACACAGACGUCUCCGACUGCAGCUUCAUCACGAACUUGUGGCUUUUGGGGUCGACGAACUCCUCGCCCAGGCGCAGGAAGGGAAGUGGUGUCACCGUGAUGACCAGGGAGAAGUCCGGGCGCUUCAGGGUGAAGACCUGGUUUUGGCGCAGAGACGCGGUCACAGGCUCCUCGCUCACUAGUGUCCACUGGCGCCCCCUGCUGCUGUCCAGAACUGCAGGAAGUCGAUGAUGCUCUCCAUGCUGUGGUAGGACUGCUGCCUGGUGGCUCGGAGGUACUUCUGCAUGGCCCGCGCCAUCGGGGCGAAGAUGGCCUGAGCCGCCUCCCUCGGGUCCAUCACCUCCCGCGGGUGUUUGGGCGAGGACACGAGCGCCUCCUCUUCCUGGUGACGCUUGAUGUGGGUGAAGGCUUCUUCUACUGCCACCACCAGUCUGGGAGGAGCAAUUACACCCGUCCGGGUCCAGGAAAUGGGAGCAGAUCUGCGGUGCGAGUGCGCGGGCAUCUUUCGGACUGGAGCCCAGUUGCCAGGCUCCAUGCAGGUGAACCCUGAGACCCUGUGAAUGACCUCCUCACCACGUCUUGCUGGAUCUUGACCCUGACCUGGUGAGCCCUCCUCUUGGCGCUCUCAAUCCGCUCCACCAGUGCCGCUGACGGGUUCCUCGAGUGCUCCUCCAUCAGGUCCUGUGAAUUCAUCAAGUCUGGUUAUCAACAGCAUCUUCAGAGGGAUCAGUGAUCAAUCUGCAGUGAGUUGUGUUUCCUGCACGGACUCAUUUGUUCAUGUGCGAGGGUUUUACCUGCAGCUCAGCUUCCUCCUGCUCCAGCAUCUUCCUGAGUAUCUGAGUGGCGUGUUUUUGUACUUCUGGGUCCUGAACACACAAAAGCAACAGAUGAUGAUGUGCAAUUUCUCCAAUUACCUAAGUCCUUUAGCUGUUCCACUGGGUUGUAUGAAUGCUUAAAAAAACGUGUCUCACCUGUAGUGGUUUGGGUCCAGUGAUUCUUUGGGAAGGGCUGCUGCUCAGUCCAGAGGGCAGGGGCGGAGGUGGAGGGGGUGGAGCCUCCCCACCGAGAGACGUUCUUUGAUUGGGGGUGAGGUCAGUGUGGAGGGGCUCC